Molecule: ribosomal RNA, 446 nt
Filed under: uncultured bacterium
Lineage: Bacteria
Description: partial 16S ribosomal RNA
Rfam family: Bacterial small subunit ribosomal RNA
Source: RNAcentral
CCUACGGGCGGCUGCAGUCGAGAAUCAUUCACAAUGGGGGAAACCCUGAUGGUGCGACGCCGCGUGGGGGAAUGAAGGUCUUCGGAUUGUAAACCCCUGUCAUGUGGGAGCAAAUUAAAAAGAGAGGACCACAAGAGGAAGAGACGGCUAACUCUGUGCCAGCAGCCGCGGUAAUACAGAGGGCUCAAGCGUUGUUCGGAAUCACUGGGUGUAAAGCGUGCGUAGGCUGUUUCGUAAGACGUGUGUGAAAGGCGCGGCCUCAACCCGCGGACGGCCCAUGAUACUGCGAGACUAGAGUAAUGGAGGGGGAACCGGAAUUCUCGGUGUAGCAGUGAAAUGCGUAGAUAUCGAGAGGAACACUCGUGGCGAAGGCGGGUUCCUGGACAUUAACUGACGCUGAGGCACGAAGGCCAGGGGAGCGAAAGGGAUUAGAUACCCCUGUAGUC